This is a long non-coding RNA of Capsicum annuum, 978 nucleotides long. RefSeq lists it as uncharacterized. NCBI's taxonomy places the organism in Eukaryota, Viridiplantae, Streptophyta, Magnoliopsida, Solanales, Solanaceae. The record is from RefSeq and is a predicted model, not a curated record. The transcript is spliced from 3 exons.
UCCAUUUAAUUAUAUUUAUGCUGACGUUGUUGUUAACAAGCAUAUGUUGAGGUGGUUGUUAAAGCAUAUGAUUUAUCUUAUUAAUCCAUCUAAUUGUCUUUAUGUAACAUAGUUUGUGUGGAGACCAUACGAUGCAAUAUUGCAUACACUGCCCUUGUGUUCCAAGAUUGACAGGUCGGUAUGGACUGCACGAGUGCCUUUACUUUUCUUAGAGGUAGGUGAGUACCACGUGCCUGAUAGGGUGAUGCGAUAAUUUGGUUUUCCUCAACACAUACCCGAGCCCCCAGAGUGGAAACCCAAGCACUUUGACGUUAAUUUGCGUACUAGGGCGGGUCAGUCGUUGGUUGAGCUAUAGGUCGUUAUUUUGAUGCUUGGAGGGAUUGACAUGAAAAAUUGGCUGUGCCAGUCCAUGGUGCUAUACUGAGAGAUUAUACACUAUGGUACUUGAGUCACGGACGAUUAUUGAUAGGCAACCCUGCUAUAAAGGAAAAGUACAGAGCAGAAUUUGUUCCUCAUGCUGGUACUGUUACUGCAUUGUCGAGGGGACUUCACAAGAUCCUCAAUAUUUCGUUCGAAGUGCAAAAGGAUCCUGCACAUGCUUUAUGGGGACAUGAAAUAGAGAGUGUGGUAACGUAGACAUUUAAGGAGGCUCGUGAUGCCAUACCGCCAGAUGGGCUAUUUUGUGACGUUGAAUUGUCCUAUUACAAUGCAAGUGCUCGGGGACGUGGUGAAGGCCGGGGUAUAGGCCCAGGACGUGGUCGUCCAAGGGGACGACCCCGCAACACAGAUGUACAUGAAUUUUUUAAUGAGCCAUCACCGUCUACUUCUGUCGUUCCAUCUAAGGCCAUUCCAGGCCCCUCUGGUACUCAAAAUGUUGGGCAAACAUUCACACAACAUACCAACGAGAUGUUUGAUAUGUCGACGUUUGGUCGUAGCUUGGAGUCUUUGAUGGGUUAUGCUAUGCCGACAUCGAGUGGU